This 234-nucleotide ribosomal RNA is filed under the name uncultured bacterium. Its description in RNAcentral is "partial 16S ribosomal RNA". It matches the Rfam family "Bacterial small subunit ribosomal RNA", at positions 794 to 1030 of the family's 1533-position model. The record is from RNAcentral.
UCCACGCCGUAAACGAUGAAUACUAGGUGUCGGGGGUCGAACCUCGGUGCCGCAGUUAACACAAUAAGUAUUCCGCCUGGGGAGUACGAUCGCAAGAUUAAAACUCAAAGGAAUUGACGGGGGCCCGCACAAGCAGCGGAGCAUGUGGUUUAAUUCGAAGCAACGCGAAGAACCUUACCUAGACUUGACAUCCCCUGCAUAACCCAGAGAUGGGCGAAGUCCUUCGGGACAGGG